CGCACAGACGAGUACCGGCCGGGCCACAGGGCAAGCGCCUGACGCGAGCGGGGGAGGAACCGGGGCUGAAGCAGAGGGUGCGCCCGGUAGUCCUCGAGCUGCGGCGGCACCGCGCAGGUGGGAGGGCUUUGGGGGCAGGGGCGUGGAGGGUGUCUGGGGUUUUUUCAGAAUGCUGUGCGUGCGGGCUCAGCCAUCUCUGACUCUGCGACCUCACGGACUGUAACCCACCAGGCUCCUCUGUCCGUGGGAUUCUCCAGGCAAGAAUCCUGGAGUGGGGUGCCAUUUCCUCCUCCAGGGAUCUUCCUCACCCAGGGAUCUUCCUCACCCAGGGAUCGAACCCACAGCCCCUGCAUUCUUUACCACUGAAGCCGCCUGGGAAGCCCCUAAACAUGCUGUAAUGACUGAUACCUGACUACUGUUACUCCGGAACCUGGCUCAUAGUAGGAGCUGAGCAAACCCGAGCUCCUCUCCCUGUCUUGCAAGGUUGCACCGUGCCCUGCAGGGCAGACACAGGUCUCUGGCUCAUGGGUCAAGGAACUCGGCAGGGGGGCCCAGGCCAGUGUCCAGCGCAGCUUCCUCUGCUGCGCUCGUCCCACGGGGAGCCGGCAGAGCCCGCUCUGACACCCUCCUCUCCGCAGUACAGCCUGUGCUCUGCUCCCGCCCCCAGAGAGCUCUGAGCUUUCCAAAUAUGGAUGCUUUUUUCAUUCCCAAAGCAUCAGGAACAUUUGGGGGAAGAAAAUGAACACCAGACACGGCCUGGAAAUGAUGGAAGCCAAGGGAUGGGCUGUGGCGGCAUGAGAGCUCUUCUGGGAGUCAGGAGUCCGCGUUAUAAAAUCCUAAAUGGAAGCCUGGAGAUCGGAAGAGCGCCGGGUGCUCUCCACCCGACGGCGUCACUCUCCACUGGGGACGCAGGGCGUCACUCUCCACUGGGGACGCAGGGCGUCACUCUCCACUGGGGACGCAGGGCGUCACUCUCCACUGGGGACGCAGGGCGUCACUCUCCACUGGGGACGCAGGGCGUCACUCUCCACUGGGGACGCAGGGCAGCCACGGAAGGGCCUGGCCCGCUCUCCGAGGCUCCGCCUAGCUCACACAAACGCGUGGAAAUCUGCUGGCAGGAGAGGAAGCGGCCAGUAAACCGACAGAAAGAAGGGCCAAAUCCUGGGUCUCCUGCGUCCAAAGAAAGUUUCUCUGCUUCACUUUCAGCCUCCAAACACCUACUUAAACCUAGUAACACUCUGACCCAUCUCCAGUCAUCUAGCCUUUUCAUCUCAAAUCCUCUUCAGAACUUCUCUGGUUUGUAUUUCUUAUGGUAG
RNAcentral lists this long non-coding RNA (1316 nucleotides) under Ovis aries (sheep). RNAcentral's name for it is "lncRNA (ENSOARG00000026737.1)". The record is from RNAcentral. Lineage: Eukaryota; Metazoa; Chordata; Mammalia; Artiodactyla; Bovidae.